CAGUUCGGAUUGUAGUCUGCAACUCGACUACAUGAAGCCGGAAUCGCUAGUAAUCGCGGAUCAGAAUGCCGCGGUGAAUACGUUCCCGGGUCUUGUACACACCGCCCGUCACACCAUGGGAGCCGGAAAUGCCCGAAGUCAGUGACCCAACCAAUAAGGAGGGAGCUGCCGAAGGCAGGUCUGGUGACUGGGGUGAAGUCGUAACAAGGUAGC
This 213-nucleotide ribosomal RNA is filed under the name uncultured bacterium. Its description in RNAcentral is "partial 16S ribosomal RNA". It matches the Rfam family "Bacterial small subunit ribosomal RNA", at positions 1289 to 1500 of the family's 1533-position model. The record is from RNAcentral.